This is a long non-coding RNA of Rhipicephalus sanguineus (brown dog tick), 414 nucleotides long. RefSeq lists it as uncharacterized. The record is from RefSeq and is a predicted model, not a curated record. The transcript has 4 exons. Lineage: Eukaryota; Metazoa; Arthropoda; Arachnida; Ixodida; Ixodidae.
UCUCGGCAAUGCUUUAACAAAGAAAUUGUUGCAGCCACCUCCCCUGCUGGUGAUGACCAUAUGCAGCCAAUGCUGAUGUGAACCCGAGUGAUGAACAAAUGCAGAUCUGCAAAGGAGCUGUCCUGAGGCACCAUGCUUACUCAAGUCAUGCAGCGAGAGUCAGACGAUCUGAGUUCGUACACAGUUUGUACUGCUCCUACCGAAGAACUGGGCUCGUCCAUGCUGAAAGAAGCGUUUGGCAUGCCUGGAAAAGUACAUCAAAGCACACCCCAUCUGGCUGACUGCACUACCUCAAGGAAACUGCCUUUCUCCCAUCUGCAAGUUCCUAAGAAGUUACUAAUGAAGCAAGCCAGCAGGGCGUACGUGUUAGGCAUGGCAGCAUGGAGAACAAAUAAACAUGAGUAUUUGGUGCAA